RNAcentral lists this unclassified non-coding RNA (3161 nucleotides) under Penaeus chinensis. RNAcentral's name for it is "wW domain-containing adapter protein with coiled- coil-like, transcript variant X1". The record is from RNAcentral. Lineage: Eukaryota; Metazoa; Arthropoda; Malacostraca; Decapoda; Penaeidae.
UUCCCCUCCGGGCUGCAGAAGGAUCCCAAAACUAACAUCGAAUUAUAAAUCAAGCCAACAUCAUCAAUCCGAAAAGGUGGAGGCGAAGAGACGAAUCCUCCGACCGGACGGAGAUCAAUAGCGUUCCCGGGCCCGCUCCUCCGCCGCCGUUCCUGCCUGCCCCAGUUGGCAAGGCGAUCCCCGUUGGAAUAUGGCGUUGUAAUGGGACGAUUUUGAAGGCGCCGACUUUCUGGCUCGUUUUCUGCUCGACGCCCUGCACCCACUCCCUUCCUGAGACGCUCUCCUCCUUAGUAUUGCAUUAAUGGUAAUGCAUGCGAGGAAACUACCACGUAUUAGCGAUGGGUUCAACGAGAAGCACCAGGCCCACAGCUACGAGAAUUCAAAAUACAGUAGUAAGUACCGCUACAGCAACCAUGAGAAAAACAGGGACUCUCCCUCUACAAAUUCUCUGCGAUCCUCCUCACCAGACUCUCGAUCACAGUCUCCACGCUACCACAAGGCUGCCAACUACUACAAGGUGCGUGAGAAGGAGCGGGAAAGAGACCGUGAGAACCGGGAGAGAGACCGGGACAGAGACAGAGAGAGGGAGCGCGAGCGGGAACGGGAACGCGACCGGGACCGGGACCGAGACAGAGAGAGGGACCGGGAGCGCGAGCGGGACCGAGAACGCGACUACCGAGGAGACUACAGGGACAGAGGUGAGUUGUAUGACAGUCGAUCGCCUAAAGACCGCAGGCGAGAAGUGCGAGACCGUGAUAGAGAGCGGGAGCGCGACAGGGACAGCCGUGGAAACCAUGACCGAAUUAAUUCUGUUCACAAGAAAGAGGAAAAAGAACGUUUGGCGAGGGUGGGGGACUGGUCGGAGCAUGUAAGCUCAUCAGGCAAGAAGUACUACUAUAACUGCCGAACUGAGGUAUCCCAGUGGGAGAAGCCCCCAGAGUGGCUAGAAUGGGAGAGAGCACGUGCCAAGGAGACCUCUAAUAGGUCACAUGACAAGACCUCGAAUAGGCAAGACAAACAUUCCAGUUUAGGGGAGAGUUAUCGGGAAAGUCGGGAUAUCAGGGAUGGCGACCGAGACAGGAAUGACAGGGAUAGGAGAGAAAUGUAUCAUAGUGAAGAUAUGUAUGAUAGAAGAGACUCUAGAAAAUAUGGCCAAGAGGUUGGUGCGGCAGACAUGGACAUUUCUUCAGGUGAUAGCACUCCAACGUCAGAGCACCUCCAUAAUAGGGGCAGUGGUGAGAACAGCCACGAUAUCAGUGGGGCCAAUGUGUCGUUAGCAUCGUCAGGUUUGGUGUCUGCGUCGGGCACCUCAGUAACGUCCACCCACGCAGGCUCGGGCCCUGCACUCCUGAGAACUAAGUUGGGAACCAGUUUAGGGAUGCUGCCCACAUCUCUACCCUCCUCCUUACCCCACCUGGGUAGCAGCACGGCGGCCUCCACCUCUGUCACCAACACCACCACCACCACCUCCUCCCUAGGUAGCAGCAUCCCAACCCUCAGUGGUUCCACGCCCAUGGCUGUGCCGCAGCUCCUUAGCCACCACCCUCGCGUCAUAUCCCUCUCUAGUUCUCUGAACAAGGGCGGUGUUGAUGUGGAUACAGGAAAGACUGUCAACUCAAACAACUCUCAUUCUCAUGAUGGAGAGGGACAUCUAGUGAAAUUACAAUUAGAACCUCUAACAAUAUCAGCAAAUAGUAAUAAUAUAGGUGGAGGUCCUCCCACACCAACACACUCUGAAAACCAAGAUGGCAUUGACAUCAGAAAAGUGGGUAGCCCAAGCAGCAGUAUUAACUCGCUACAGUCAUUGACGCAAACAACAGGAGGGUCAUUGGCAGGAGCAAAACCGUUAGUUCCUGCCCUCACGCCCAGUCUGGCUAACUAUUACAAUGAAACCCUCAUUUCACACGUACAAAACUGGCCAGCAGAGAAUUUAGAAAAACCGGCACAGAGAUUAGCUGAGGAAGCUCAUUCUGUUGGAAGUCUAGUGAUGACGCGGGUAUCUGCCGAGCUCAAGAUGGCACGGUCCCUGGUACGACUGGCAGAGAUACAGGCUACACUCCAUGAACAAAGGAUACUUUUUCUACGUGCUCAGAAGCGAGAACUUGAGGAGAUGAAGGCGCAGAAUUCCUUCAUGAGUGACACAUAGUGUUGGGCUGCCUGUGAUAGCUGCCUGGGUCAGUUGUCUGGAUGUUGACAUGCCUGGGAUUAUUUAUAAAGUGUUAUAUUUUCUUAAUCAUGUACUGGAUGUGUGAACAUUGGUGAAGUCCAAAGUGCAGGGUGUGGCAGUGAGGUGAGGCCCGAGUCCUCCCCUUGUGUGGGUUUUGGGCGAGUGCCAGCACCAGUAUCAUCACAGCAGCCAGUGCAAAGAUGACUGCUGCCACAGGCCAGGGUAACUGCCAGCUCCUCACAGGAUUCACCAACAACCUACCGUCCUGUGUCUGGCCCGGCCUACCCUGGCCACCCUCCACCGAUAACCCCAAUGUCAUCUAUGUUUCUCUGUGAUGAAUGACACAACUAGACACCUCUGAAGGCUGAGCCUGUACACUGAACAGCUCUGCUACGUCACAAUGUAAUACCGGCUAGCCAGAGGCUGGCACUGUAUCACACUCCCUGGGGUCUUGAGAAUCACCCCUUCGAGCAUCAUCUGUCCCGUUCCCCUUCGUCACUCUCACUCUGUGUUCCUUCUUUGCUGGCUGACUUGUCAAGCCCACGUGGAUAUCUGGAAGUCUUGGCAGAGCUCUCCAGCCCAAUAGGUUUGAAAAAAAAAAUAACAAGAAAAAAGAAUUGUUGUCUUAUUGCUUUACACAUUUCACAACAAAACACUAGUGAACCACUCCUCUUACCAGCAUGUCACUACCGGAAGGAUGUCACGGGCGGCUUCCACCAGCUCUAUUCCAGCUUCCGGGGAAUAAGUUGGGCGAAGCGAGCGGGGGUGACUUUUCUGUCGCGGUAGCAGUGGUACACGGAACUUUUACCUAUUUACUAUCAGUAGAUUCUGGAGAGCGUAGUUGAAUUUCUUAACUGCUUUCCGUAAUCAGUUAUCCAAGUGACUAGAAACAAAAUUAUGGGGAAUUGAUUGAUGAUUGGAAGCCAAACGUCUAAUUUUUAUUUUGUGAAGUGUGAGCCAGCUCAGCGACCACUCCAACCAAAAGCCAAGUAUU